UGGGGAAUAUUGCACAAUGGGCGAAAGCCUGAUGCAGCAACGCCGCGUGAGUGAUGAAGGCCUUCGGGUUGUAAAGCUCUGUCUUUUGGGACGAUAAUGACGGUACCAAAGGAGAAAGCCACGGCUAACUACGUGCCAGCAGCCGCGGUAAUACGUAGGUGGCAAGCGUUGUCCGGAUUUACUGGGCGUAAAGGAUGCGUAGGCGGAUUUUUAAGUGAGAUGUGAAAUACCCGGGCUUAACUUGGGUGCUGCAUUUCAAACUGGGAAUCUAGAGUGCGGGAGGGGAGAAUGGAAUUCCUAGUGUAGCGGUGAAAUGCGUAGAGAUUAGGAAGAACACCAGUGGCGAAGGCGAUUCUCUGGACCGUAACCGACGCUGAGGCAUGAAAGCGUGGGUAGCAAACAGGAUUAGAUACCCUGGUAGUCCACGCCGUAAACGAUGAGUACUAGGUGUAGGAGGUAUCGACCCCUUCUGUGCCGCAGUUAACACAAUAAGUACU
RNAcentral lists this ribosomal RNA (497 nucleotides) under uncultured bacterium. RNAcentral describes it as "partial 16S ribosomal RNA". It matches the Rfam family "Bacterial small subunit ribosomal RNA", at positions 355 to 868 of the family's 1533-position model. The record is from RNAcentral.